AUUGGGAUUUUGCAAUGGUAAAUCAGUUUGAUAACCAAUAUUAGUUGUUUGAACUUCAGGUACGGGUAUGGGAGGAAGUUUAUGCUGCUUUAAAGCACGCGGAAUCGGAGCUUGUAGAUCGUGAUCUUUCAUUACAUUUAGUUCAGAAUUAAGGUUGAGUGUAGAGGAAGAAUACCCAUUAUGUGCGGAGUGAAAGGCUUCAGCUUGAAGUGGUUGCAAAUCAUUGGAGUUAGGUGAUUGAUUAGAGUUAUUUUGGAAAUUAUUUAGCGUAGAGUAUUGAGAAUUUUGAAAAGAAGAGACUCUGUUGUUAGUAGUGUUUUGCUUGUAGUUUACGCCAUUAAGAGGUCCUUCAGAAACGACCCGCCUUGUUUGUUUUGGGGAAGGAGGAUGGUGCAGCUGAAAAACUUCCCUAGCUUCAAGAGAUAAAUGUUCAACUGCAUGAUAGAUUUCAAAAACAUAACCCCUCGGUGCUACGACAGCCGAUAUAGAAGCAAAAAAUUGGACAUGUUCCUGAUAAUCUCCACUGAGUUUAGGAAGCA
Molecule: non-coding RNA, 539 nt
Organism: Schizosaccharomyces pombe (fission yeast)
Lineage: Eukaryota; Fungi; Ascomycota; Schizosaccharomycetes; Schizosaccharomycetales; Schizosaccharomycetaceae
Source: the annotation of a GenBank genome assembly